AGCCCAGCAGCUAGCCUAACCAACAAACCUAAAGCCCCGACAUUAAUAAACCCGAAGAAUCGCACAACAAUAUAUUAAAACAUUUUAUUGCUGAAGUAUGGGCGACAGAAACAGAAAAUAGAGCAACAGACAAAGUACCGCAAGGGAAUGCUGAAAUAGAAAUGAAAAAAAUCAGUUAAGCACAGAAAAGCAGAGACUUACUCUCGUACCUUUUGCAUCAUGAUUUAGCGAGCCAUCUUCAAGCAAAAAGCCCUGUAGUUUGAAAACCCGAAACCAAGUGAGCUACUCCAAGACAGUCUAAUUAAUAGGACUACUCCCGUCUCUGUGGCAAAAGAUGUGGGAAGAGCUUUGAGUAGAGGUGAAAAGCCUACCGAACUUGGUGAUAGCUGGUUGCCCGAGAAAUGAAUAGAAGUUCAGCCCUUAAUGCUCUUCAAUCACGCGCAUCGUCGAUAAAAGAGCCGUUAAGGAGUUAGUCAUAGGGGGUCCAGCCCCUAUGACGAAAGAAACAACUUUAUAAGGACGGCUAAGGAUUAACCUAAUAAAGGCACCCGUACACUAGUGGGCUUAAAAGCAGCCAUCUUAACAAAAAGCGUUAAAGCUUGAGUACCCCUAACGCCAAUAAUUUUAUUACCCCCCUCCGAACCCUCCGAGAAUAUCGUGCUACUUUAUGCCACCAUAAAAAUAUUAAUGCUAGAAUGAGUAACAAGAGCCAACGAAGCUCUCCUAACACCUGUGUAAAUCAGAACGGACCCCCCACUGAAAAUUAACGGCCCCAAAAAGAGGGUAAUGGCCUAGAAAAAGAGAACUAGAAAAACCCCCACAGUCCAACCGUUAACCUUACACCAGAGUGCCCCCAAGGAAAGACUAAAAAGAGAGGAAGGAACUCGGCAAGAUAACAAGCCUCGCCUGUUUACCAAAAACAUCGCCUCCUGGACUUACAAAUAUAGGAGGUCCCGCCUGCCCUGUGAUCUAGAAUUUAACGGCCGCGGUAUUUUGACCGUGCAAAGGUAGCGCAAUCACUUGUCUUUUAAAUGAAGACCUGUAUGAAUGGCAUAACGAGGGCUUGACUGUCUCCCCCUCCCAGUCAGUGAAAUUGAUCUUUCCGUGCAGAAGCGGGAAUACACACAUAAGACGAGAAGACCCUGUGGAGCUUUAGACAGCAGACUGCCCUUACACAUAAACUCUUAAUUAACAAGCUAAAGCCAUAAGGACCCCGUUUCAUGUCUUCGGUUGGGGCGACCGCGGGGAAAUAAAAAACCCCCAUGUGGAACAUCAUCACCUGUUUUUGAACGAAGAGCGACAACUCAAAGUACCAGAACAUCUGACCUAAUCUGAUCCGGCUCACUGCCGAUUAACGAAACCAGUUACCCCAGGGAUAACAGCGCAAUCCUCUCCCAGAGUCCAUAUCGACAAGAGGGUUUACGACCUCGAUGUUGGAUCAGGACAUCCUAAUGGUGCAGCCGCUAUUAAGGGUUCGUUUGUUCAACGAUUAAAGUCCUACGUGAUCUGAGUUCAGACCGGAGUAAUCCAGGUCAGUUUCUAUCUAUGCAAUGUCCUUUUCCAGUACGAAAGGACCGAAAAGAAGAGGCCCCUGCCAAAGGCACGCCUCCCCACCCACCUAAUGAAAUCAACUAAAAUAGGCAAGGGGACAUCCUCCUAAGUUGAAGAAAAUAACAU
Salarias fasciatus (jewelled blenny) is the source of this 1677-nucleotide non-coding RNA. Lineage: Eukaryota; Metazoa; Chordata; Actinopteri; Blenniiformes; Blenniidae. The record is from the annotation of a RefSeq genome assembly.